Molecule: ribosomal RNA, 253 nt
Filed under: uncultured bacterium
Lineage: Bacteria
Description: partial 16S ribosomal RNA
Rfam family: Bacterial small subunit ribosomal RNA
Source: RNAcentral
UACGGAGGUGGCAAGCGUUAUCCGGAAUUAUUGGGCGUAAAGCGUCCGCAGGUGGUUCUCCAAGUCUGCUGUUAAAGCGCGAGGCUUAACUUCGUACAGGCAGUGGAAACUGGGUGACUGGAGUAUGGUAGGGGUAGCGGGAAUUCCCAGUGUAGCGGUGAAAUGCGUAGAUAUUGGGAAGAACACCAGCGGCGAAAGCGCGCUACUGGGCCAUUACUGACACUCAUGGACGAAGGCUAGGGGAGCGAAAGGG